AUACGGAGGAGGCUAGCGUUGUUCGGAAUUACUGGGCGUAAAGCGCACGUAGGCGGAUUAAAAAGUUAGAGGUGAAAUCCCAGGGCUUAACCCUGGAACUGCCUUUAAAACUAGUAGUCUAGAGUUCGAGAGAGGUGAGUGGAAUUCCAAGUGUAGAGGUGAAAUUCGUAGAUAUUUGGAGGAACACCGGUGGCGAAGGCGGCUCACUGGCUCGAGACUGACGCUGAGGUGCGAAAGCGUGGGGAGCAAACAGGAUUAGAAACCCCAGUAGUCC
This 274-nucleotide ribosomal RNA is filed under the name uncultured bacterium. RNAcentral describes it as "partial 16S ribosomal RNA". It matches the Rfam family "Bacterial small subunit ribosomal RNA", at positions 523 to 796 of the family's 1533-position model. The record is from RNAcentral.